GAUGGACGCUGGCGGCGUGCCUAAUACAUGCAAGUCGAGCGAACGGACGAGAAGCUUGCUUCUCUGAUGUUAGCGGCGGACGGGUGAGUAACACGUGGAUAACCUACCUAUAGGACUGGGAUAACUUCGGGAAACCGGAGCUAAUACCGGAUAAUAUUUUGAACCGCAUGGUUCAAAAGUGAAAGACGGUCUUGCUGUCACUUAUAGAUGGAUCCGCGCUGCAUUAGCUAGUUGGUAAGGUAACGGCUUACCAAGGCAACGAUGCAUAGCCGACCUGAGAGGGUGAUCGGCCACCCUGGAACUGAGACACGGGCCAGACUCCUACGGGAGGCAGCAGUAGGGAAUCUUCCGCAAUGGGCGAAAGCCUGACGGAGCAACGCCGCGUGAGUGAUGAAGGUCUUCGGAUCGUAAAACUCUGUUAUUAGGGAAGAACAUAUGUGUAAGUAACUGUGCACAUCUUGACGGUACCUAAUCAGAAAGCCACGGCUAACUACGUG
This 497-nucleotide ribosomal RNA is filed under the name uncultured bacterium. Its description in RNAcentral is "partial 16S ribosomal RNA". It matches the Rfam family "Bacterial small subunit ribosomal RNA", at positions 28 to 507 of the family's 1533-position model. The record is from RNAcentral.